Unclassified non-coding RNA from Macaca fascicularis (crab-eating macaque), 148 nucleotides. It matches the Rfam family "Metazoan signal recognition particle RNA". Rfam says of the family: The signal recognition particle (SRP) is a universally conserved ribonucleoprotein. It is involved in the co-translational targeting of proteins to membranes. The eukaryotic SRP consists of a 300-nucleotide 7S RNA and six proteins: SRPs 72, 68, 54, 19, 14, and 9. NCBI's taxonomy places the organism in Eukaryota, Metazoa, Chordata, Mammalia, Primates, Cercopithecidae. The record is from Ensembl.
GUUGGGCAUGGUGGCUCAUGCCUGUAAUCCCAAUACUUUGGGAGAAUGAGAUGGGAGGAUUGCUUGAGCCCAGGAGUUCCAGGCUGUAGUAAGCUAUGAUCGUGCCACUGCACUCCAGCCUGGGCAACAGAGCAAGACUCUAUCUCUA